AUUGAACGCUGGCGGCAGGCCUAACACAUGCAAGUCGAACGGUAACAGGAAACAGCUUGCUGUUUCGCUGACGAGUGGCGGACGGGUGAGUAAUGUCUGGGAAACUGCCUGAUGGAGGGGGAUAACUACUGGAAACGGUAGCUAAUACCGCAUAACGUCGCAAGACCAAAGAGGGGGACCUUCGGGCCUCUUGCCAUCGGAUGUGCCCAGAUGGGAUUAGCUAGUAGGUGGGGUAACGGCUCACCUAGGCGACGAUCCCUAGCUGGUCUGGGAGGAUGACCAGCCACACUGGAACUGCGACACGGUCCAGACUCCUACGGGAGGCAGCAGUGGGGAAUAUUGCACAAUGGGCGCAAGCCUGAUGCAGCCAUGCCGCGUGUAUGAAGAAGGCCUUCGGGUUGUAAAGUACUUUCAGCGGGGAGGAAGGGAGUAAAGUUAAUACCUUUGCUCAUUGACGUUACCCGCAGAAGAAGCACCGGCUAACUCCGUGCCAGCCGCCGCAGUAA
Molecule: ribosomal RNA, 506 nt
Filed under: uncultured bacterium
Lineage: Bacteria
Description: partial 16S ribosomal RNA
Rfam family: Bacterial small subunit ribosomal RNA
Source: RNAcentral